GAUGGAAUGUCAAUCUGCCAAUUUGGAGAAGGCAAAGAUAAAGAAUCUACUGAUAAGGAGGAAGGGGCGACUGAGCCAGAAAUUGAAACACCAGAAGGUGUUCCUGAGACUGUUGAAAUUGCUCCAGAGGAAGUAACACUUCCUAAUGCGUUGACCUCUGUUGAUGGAGCACAGCAAACUAACAUGUCGAUGGCGUAUCAGCUUUCAAUUUAGGAGUAGAGGGAGAUACAGAAUCCCUUUCUCAUCUGGAGAUUGUGCUGAGCCGUUGUUUACUGAAAUGAAGCAGCUUCUACAGUGCUGUCAGGACUCAGUGUGACACACUCCGAGAGUAUCUCUGAGAGUCGACCACAGAAGUGUGUGGAUAAUUCAUCUGGAGCUGCAGGUCAAACAGGAAAAAAUACAUUAAGUGAAGAAAUAGAAGGUAAGAACUGUAUUUUAUUAAAAAGUCAUUUGACAGAAUGUUGAUUUCAGACAUGAAU
Long non-coding RNA from Camelus dromedarius (Arabian camel), 479 nucleotides. RefSeq lists it as uncharacterized. NCBI's taxonomy places the organism in Eukaryota, Metazoa, Chordata, Mammalia, Artiodactyla, Camelidae. The transcript has 5 exons. The record is from RefSeq and is a predicted model, not a curated record.